RNAcentral lists this ribosomal RNA (253 nucleotides) under uncultured bacterium. RNAcentral's name for it is "partial 16S ribosomal RNA". It matches the Rfam family "Bacterial small subunit ribosomal RNA", at positions 524 to 776 of the family's 1533-position model. The record is from RNAcentral.
UACGGAGGAUCCAAGCGUUAUCCGGAUUUAUUGGGUUUAAAGGGUGCGUAGGCGGCCUGUUAAGUCAGAGGUGAAAGACGGUAGCUCAACUAUCGCAGUGCCCUUGAUACUGAUGGGCUUGAAUGGACUAGAGGUAGGCGGAAUGAGACAAGUAGCGGUGAAAUGCAUAGAUAUGUCUCAGAACACCGAUUGCGAAGGCAGCUUACUAUGGUUUAAUUGACGCUGAGGCACGAAAGCGUGGGGAUCAAACAGG